This is a non-coding RNA of Pelobates cultripes (western spadefoot toad), 241 nucleotides long. The record is from the annotation of a GenBank genome assembly. NCBI's taxonomy places the organism in Eukaryota, Metazoa, Chordata, Amphibia, Anura, Pelobatidae.
GGAGUUUAAUGUCAACGGUGGUAUGAACAAGUUUCUCCCAUUCCAGUCCGACAGGAAAUGGUACCACCUGGUCAGAUGCGCCCUAGCCUGAAUGUUCAGUGUAACCCUGCUGUUGUUGUUGGGUAAGUUGGGUAACAAACCGAGUAGACGUGAGAUGAACGCUCGUCUCAUGGCGAAGUUGUUGAUGAUAUGCCAUGUGCUUAGUUGUCUGAGUAACAAUGGAUUGAUGACCCUGACCAUG